CCUACGGGCGGCAGCAGUAGGGAAUAUUGCUCAAUGGGGGAAACCCUGAACCAGCCACGCCGCGUGGAGGAUGACGGUCUUAUGAUUGUUAACUCCCUUUUUGAGAGAAGCUAAUGACGGUCUCUCCCGACUAAGCAACUGCCAACUCCGUGACCGCAGGCUCGGUCAUACGGAGGGUGCACGCGGUACUCGGCAUCACUGGGGUUAAAGGGGGCGGUGGCGGGUAUUUAAGUCAGAUGUGAAAUCUUGGAGCUUAAACACAGAACUGCAUUUGAAACUAGGGGUCUAGAGUGUGGGAGAGGUAGGUGGAAUGCGUGGUGUAGGGGUAAAAUGCGUAGAUAUCAAGAGGAACACUCAUUGCGAAGGCGACCUACUGGAACAUAACUGACGCUCAGGCACGAAAGCGUGGGUAGCGAACAGGAUUAGAUACCCCAGUAGUC
This 440-nucleotide ribosomal RNA is filed under the name uncultured bacterium. RNAcentral's name for it is "partial 16S ribosomal RNA". It matches the Rfam family "Bacterial small subunit ribosomal RNA", at positions 338 to 795 of the family's 1533-position model. The record is from RNAcentral.